RNAcentral lists this ribosomal RNA (253 nucleotides) under uncultured bacterium. RNAcentral describes it as "partial 16S ribosomal RNA". It matches the Rfam family "Bacterial small subunit ribosomal RNA", at positions 524 to 776 of the family's 1533-position model. The record is from RNAcentral.
GACGAACCGAGCGAACGUUGUUCGGAAUCACUGGGCGUAAAGCGCACGUAGGCGGCUUCUCAAGUCAGGGGUGAAAUCCUGGAGCUCAACUCCAGAACUGCCUUUGAUACUGAGAGGCUCGAGUCCGGGAGAGGUGAGUGGAACUGCGAGUGUAGAGGUGAAAUUCGUAGAUAUUCGCAAGAACACCAGUGGCGAAGGCGGCUCACUGGCCCGGUACUGACGCUGAGGUGCGAAAGCGUGGGGAGCAAACAGG